Acanthosepion pharaonis is the source of this 108-nucleotide non-coding RNA. Lineage: Eukaryota; Metazoa; Mollusca; Cephalopoda; Sepiida; Sepiidae. The record is from the annotation of a GenBank genome assembly.
UUACAGCCAUAUCACGUUGAAACACCAGUUCUCGUACGGUCACCAAAGUUAAGCAACCUCGAGCUUGGUCAGUAGCUAGAUGAGUGACCACUUGAAAUAUCAGGUUCU